RNAcentral lists this transfer RNA (71 nucleotides) under Ceramothamnion japonicum. Its description in RNAcentral is "Ceramium japonicum tRNA-Gly". It matches the Rfam family "tRNA". Rfam says of the family: Transfer RNA (tRNA) molecules are approximately 80 nucleotides in length. Their secondary structure includes four short double-helical elements and three loops (D, anti-codon, and T loops). Lineage: Eukaryota; Rhodophyta; Florideophyceae; Ceramiales; Ceramiaceae. The record is from RNAcentral.
GCGAAAAUAACUUAAAGGUAGAGUGUAAUCUUGCCAAGAUUAUUGUAAGGGUUCAAUUCCCUUUUUUCGCU